Molecule: ribosomal RNA, 1346 nt
Filed under: uncultured bacterium
Lineage: Bacteria
Description: bacterial SSU rRNA
Rfam family: Bacterial small subunit ribosomal RNA
Source: RNAcentral
GACGAACGCUGGCGGCGUGCUUAACACAUGCAAGUCGAACGGAAAGGCCCUGCUUUUGUGGGGUGCUCGAGUGGCGAACGGGUGAGUAACACGUGAGUAACCUGCCCUUGACUUUGGGAUAACUUCAGGAAACUGGGGCUAAUACCGGAUAGGAGCUCCUGCUGCAUGGUGGGGGUUGGAAAGUUUCGGCGGUUGGGGAUGGACUCGCGGCUUAUCAGCUUGUUGGUGGGGUAGUGGCUUACCAAGGCUUUGACGGGUAGCCGGCCUGAGAGGGUGGCCGGCCACAUUGGGAUUGAGAUACGGCCCAGACUCCUACGGGAGGCAGCAGUGGGGAAUAUUGCACAAUGGGCGGAAGCCUGAUGCAGCAACGCCGCGUGCGGGAUGACGGCCUUCGGGUUGUAAACCGCUUUCGCCUGUGACGAAGCGUGAGUGACGGUAAUGGGUAAAGAAGCACCGGCUAACUACGUGCCAGCAGCCGCGGUGAUACGUAGGGUGCGAGCGUUGUCCGGAUUUAUUGGGCGUAAAGGGCUCGUAGGUGGUUGAUCGCGUCGGAAGUGUAAUCUUGGGGCUUAACCCUGAGCGUGCUUUCGAUACGGGUUGACUUGAGGAAGGUAGGGGAGAAUGGAAUUCCUGGUGGAGCGGUGGAAUGCGCAGAUAUCAGGAGGAACACCAGUGGCGAAGGCGGUCCUCUGGGCCUUUCCUGACGCUGAGGAGCGAAAGCGUGGGGAGCGAACAGGCUUAGAUACCCUGGUAGUCCACGCUGUAAACGGUGGGUACUAGGUGUGGGGUCCAUUCCACGGGUUCCGUGCCGUAGCUAACGCUUUAAGUACCCCGCCUGGGGAGUACGGCCGCAAGGCUAAAACUCAAAGGAAUUGACGGAGCCCCGCACAAGCGGCGGAGCAUGCGGAUUAAUUCGAUGCAACGCGUAGAACCUUACCUGGGUUUGACAUGGAUCGGGAGCGCUCAGAGAUGGGUGUGCCUCUUUUGGGGUCGGUUCACAGGUGGUGCAUGGCUGUCGUCAGCUCGUGUCGUGAGAUGUUGGGUUAAGUCCCGCAACGAGCGCAACCCUUGUUCACUGUUGCCAGCACGUUAUGGUGGGGACUCAGUGGAGACCGCCGGGGUCAACUCGGAGGAAGGUGGGGAUGACGUCAAGUCAUCAUGCCCCUUAUGUCCAGGGCUUCACGCAUGCUACAAUGGCUGGUACAGAGAGUGGCGAGCCUGUGAGGGUGAGCGAAUCUCGGAAAGCCGGUCUCAGUUCGGAUUGGGGUCUGCAACUCGACCUCAUGAAGUCGGAGUCGCUAGUAAUCGCAGAUCAGCAACGCUGCAGUGAAUACGUUCCCGGGGCU